CCUACGGGAGGCAGCAGUAGGGAAUAUUGGGCAAUGGACACAAGUCUGACCCAGCCAUGCCGCGUGCAGGAUGAAGGCGUUAUGCGUUGUAAACUGCUUUUAUACAGGAAGAAACGACUCUUGCGAGAGGCAUUGACGGUACUGUAUGAAUAAGCACCGGCUAACUCCGUGCCAGCAGCCGCGGUAAUACGGAGGGUGCAAGCGUUGUCCGGAUUUAUUGGGUUUAAAGGGUGCGCAGGUGGUUUAUUAAGUCAGUGGUGAAAGACGGUCGCUCAACGAUUGCAGUGCCAUUGAAACUGGUAGACUUGAGUAAAGUAGAGGUGGGCGGAAUUGAUAGUGUAGCGGUGAAAUGCAUAGAUAUUAUCAAGAACUCCAAUUGCGUAGGCAGCUCACUUGGCUUUUACUGACACUCAUGCACGAAAGUGUGGGUAUCAAACAGGAUUAGAUACCCUGGUAGUCCACACUGUAAACGAUGAUAACUAGGUGUCGGCCGAAUCUGGUCGGUGCCACAGCGAAAGCGUUAAGUUAUCCACCUGGGGAGUACGCCGGCAACGGUGAAACUCAAAGGAAUUGACGG
RNAcentral lists this ribosomal RNA (577 nucleotides) under uncultured bacterium. Its description in RNAcentral is "bacterial SSU rRNA". It matches the Rfam family "Bacterial small subunit ribosomal RNA", at positions 338 to 916 of the family's 1533-position model. The record is from RNAcentral.